This is a non-coding RNA of Cladophialophora immunda, 95 nucleotides long. Lineage: Eukaryota; Fungi; Ascomycota; Eurotiomycetes; Chaetothyriales; Herpotrichiellaceae. The record is from the annotation of a RefSeq genome assembly.
AAUCAUAAUACAGUUGGUUAGAGCGUGGUGCUAAUACCAAAUACUAUUGGAAACUGUUGACGCCAAGGUCGCGAGUUCGACCCUCGUAGUGACCA